UCGGUCUGGGUCAGUAGGUGAUGUUAAGACAUAGCAUUACGAGCGGACAGAAGGGAGCUUGCUCCCGGAUGUUAGCGGCGGACGGGUGAGUAACACGUGGGUAACCUGCCUGUAAGACUGGGAUAACUCCGGGAAACCGGAGCUAAUACCGGAUAGUUCCUUGAACCGCAUGGUUCAAGGAUGAAAGACGGUUUCGGCUGUCACUUACAGAUGGACCCGCGGCGCAUUAGCUAGUUGGUGAGGUAACGGCUCACCAAGGCGACGAUGCGUAGCCGACCUGAGAGGGUGAUCGGCCACACUGGGACUGAGACACGGCCCAGACUCCUACGGGAGGCAGCAGUAGGGAAUCUUCCGCAAUGGACGAAAGUCUGACGGAGCAACGCCGCGUGAGUGAUGAAGGUUUUCGGAUCGUAAAGCUCUGUUGUUAGGGAAGAACAAGUGCAAGAGUAACUGCUUGCACCUUGACGGUACCUAACCAGAAAGCCACGGCUAACUACGUGCCAGCAGCCGCGGUAAUACGUAGGUGGCAAGCGUUGUCCGGAAUUAUUGGGCGUAAAGGGCUCGCAGGCGGUUUCUUAAGUCUGAUGUGAAAGCCCCCGGCUCAACCGGGGAGGGUCAUUGGAAACUGGGAAACUUGAGUGCAAAAGAGGAGAGUGGAAUUCCACGUGUAGCGGUGAAAUGCGUAGAGAUGUGGAGGAAACACCAGUGGCGAAGGCGA
This 718-nucleotide ribosomal RNA is filed under the name Bacillus pumilus. Its description in RNAcentral is "bacterial SSU rRNA". It matches the Rfam family "Bacterial small subunit ribosomal RNA", at positions 20 to 724 of the family's 1533-position model. Lineage: Bacteria; Bacillati; Bacillota; Bacilli; Caryophanales; Bacillaceae. The record is from RNAcentral.